Long non-coding RNA from Globicephala melas (long-finned pilot whale), 683 nucleotides. RefSeq lists it as uncharacterized. The record is from RefSeq and is a predicted model, not a curated record. Lineage: Eukaryota; Metazoa; Chordata; Mammalia; Artiodactyla; Delphinidae.
GUUUUAACACUUCUUUAUCUACUAAAGGAUGUGGUCAAAGCAAGGAAGAUGGCCACUGAGAUGAUGCUACUGGAGAGGCUGUCCCACCCGCCAUAAUACCUCAUGAAUGCUGCAGCUUUAUCAUCUUGGACAACAGAAAGGCGACCUUUGGCCUGGACUCUGCCUGCACACUUUUAAGCAUAUACACGUGACCAAAGGAGUUACAGGUUUUGUGAUUAUUGGUUUCAGGGUAAAUCCUGGAAGCAGAAGCAGCUUUUGAGCACAGCAAGGCAACAGUCAAAUUGCUUUGAGAAGAGUUUCAAUCCUGAGCUGACCUCUCCCCCACUUCUUCCAUUUUUCCACUCUUUCAAUCCAGAGACAGGUCUCAAUAAGGGCAACUCUCCAGUGCCAUGUGGCAGAAGCCCCUGCCUGCCUGCUGGAAGGGAGCCCUGAGCUAUCAGAGCCUUCAGCAGCCUGGACAUCAGGGCUGCGCACACAGCAGCUUCAUGUUUGAUUGAAAAGGAAGCUGGCCUCCAUCUCCAUCUUCUUGUCUACUGAGGCCUGUUUGGAGAUAACCCUGGCCAAGAUACGCACUGCGGAUCACAGCGGAUCACUUAAAAUCCUUCCACCCUUUGCGCACCGCCUCAAGUCUCCCCUUCUGUUUCCACACCCCACACACGUUGUUUUCUAAAGAUUAGAAGGAA